UUGAGGAGGUAGCCUGAGCUGAGAAAGAGCGUGACUCACAGUGUUCUACUAUCAAGUGGGAACCUGAACCCAGGAAUCCAUGUCGCAUCCAGUAACUUGGCCACUGUACCAAACUGCAUCUGUCAAGUGUGAGAAGAGGACUUCUCUUUAAAGAUAAAGGAGAAAAAAAGAACCUACGGCAGUUUUCACCCAGGAAUUUGUGGUUUUUCAGCACAAGAUCACCCUUUACCGAUCACAGUGGUUACUGAUUCCCAGCUCCUCUUUAUCUAAUCAUCCAAAGUAAAAGUCAGACAAAGACCCAGAAAGCUCUGGCCUGGAAAGGGAAGUGAGAAGAGAAAAUGGUUGUUGGAACCGUGAGAAAGAAAUUCAGAACAGCCCAUCCUGUCUCUCUUGUCCUUCAAAAGGAGCACGGAAGACUUUGGAACUGCUUUCAAGAUUCUCCUGUCACAACAAGGUGGCUUCUCACGCAUGAAGGUACUUUAAGAAUUCAAAGGCGCUUCCCGUAUUUGCUAGCCAUGCAAGAACUGCCUAAGAGGAAGAUUAAGAUUAUUACCGAUGGUAGGAGCGGUUACAAAGCAGGGUGAGACAAAGGGAAAG
Molecule: long non-coding RNA, 597 nt
Organism: Crotalus tigris (Tiger rattlesnake)
Lineage: Eukaryota; Metazoa; Chordata; Lepidosauria; Squamata; Viperidae
Exons: 3
Source: RefSeq, a predicted model, not a curated record